This 72-nucleotide transfer RNA is filed under the name Camelus bactrianus (Bactrian camel). It matches the Rfam family "tRNA". Rfam says of the family: Transfer RNA (tRNA) molecules are approximately 80 nucleotides in length. The record is from Rfam by way of RNAcentral. Lineage: Eukaryota; Metazoa; Chordata; Mammalia; Artiodactyla; Camelidae. RNAcentral also lists the same sequence under 3 other names.
GAGGGUAUAGCUCAAUGGAAGGGUAUGUGCUUAGCAUGCACAAGGACCUGGGUUCAAUCCCCAGUAUCUCCG